Molecule: long non-coding RNA, 417 nt
Organism: Bombina bombina (fire-bellied toad)
Lineage: Eukaryota; Metazoa; Chordata; Amphibia; Anura; Bombinatoridae
Exons: 3
Source: RefSeq, a predicted model, not a curated record
CUGUCUAAUUACUCUUUGCUGGUUUAUUGAAGUGAUUAACUCACAACUCCAGCUUGUAUCCUGGUGAAGGAAAGUACUCGGCUGCAUUUAAACUACUUCACUUGCACACCUUGGCAAAAGCGCUGCUUGUUGUCUUCCUACCUGGCUUCCUCUGACGUCUCUGCAAGCCAUUCACUCCUCACACGCUGCUCAGGCCUGGCAGCGUUCCAACUUCACAGCGUGCACAGACUUCCAGCUGCUCUGACACAGCCUUCCGGAUCUCAAGCACUCACAGUGCCUUCAGCUUGCAACAAGUAUAGCGACACAUGAGGUUAUCAGAUGUAGUUGCUGUGGGGAGCCCAGAGGGAUCCAGCACCAAUGGUGACCUGCCUUUUCAGGCUUCGGAGAUUGAUGUAACAUGUGGGAUGGAGAAGGAAG